CAGCAGCCGCGGUAACACGGAGGGUGCAAGCGUUAUCCGGAUUUAUUGGGUUUAAAGGGUCCGUAGGCGGACUUAUAAGUCAGUGGUGAAAGCCUGUCGCUUAACGAUAGAACUGCCAUUGAUACUGUAAGUCUUGAGUAUAUUUGAGGUAGCUGGAAUAAGUAGUGUAGCGGUGAAAUGCAUAGAUAUUACUUAGAACACCAAUUGCGAAGGCAGGUUACCAAGAUAUAACUGACGCUGAGGGACGAAAGCGUGGGUAGCGAACAGGAUUAGAUACCCGCGUAGUCCCUGUCUCUUAUAC
Molecule: ribosomal RNA, 301 nt
Filed under: uncultured bacterium
Lineage: Bacteria
Description: partial 16S ribosomal RNA
Rfam family: Bacterial small subunit ribosomal RNA
Source: RNAcentral